AGCAGAGCAUGAGGGGAGAAGGGAGCCCAAAAGGGAGCCCAAAAAGGCCCGGCAUCCCUGAAUGGGGAGCGAAGAGGGGGCAGCUUUUGGGAUUGCUGGGACUGCCAGCAGGCUGGGGAGGGCGGGCACCGAGGAGAAGGGGGACCCCCAAUGCAAGCGUGACCCCAGCAGCUGGGACAGGGGGAACCCCGAACAGCAGAGGGGAGGGAGCAGGGACGGGGAAUUCCUGGGCAGGGUUUUCCAGUGCUGAAUCUUGGUGUUUGGGAGGUUUUUCUGGAGGUCAGAUGGCCGGUGAAUUGUAGAGAUGGACGUGGGCUGAGGGACCUUCAAACUCAACAUGCUCGUCCCUUGUUUUCCCCAAACCAGGAUUUCCCAUUGUCACUUCUUGUGAGGUAGUGAGGAAGAGGAAGAUGCCCUGGGACACAGAGUGAGAAGGAAGUGGAGCAAGUGAACCAUUAGAGGAACAUACUGAAACCAGUAGAACAAUGCCCGUCACCUGGACUCUGUAGCAAUCCAUCAUGAAGCAGGGAGCCUUGGAUGGUGCCAGAGGGUCACAGAGAGCUGAUGAAGACAUUCCUGACUUCAGCCCUUAAGACCACUGACCCAGUUGGAGACCACCGACCCAAUUCCAGAGAAGAAUUGCGCAGGCGUGAAGGACUAAUGACCUCAUUUUAAUACAGAGCAGGGAGGGGAGGUGCUGGGUUUUGCAUAUGUAUUAUUUUGGGAAAUAGAAGGCAAAAAUCCUUGUACAACACUGUCACACAUUUCGGGAACAACUGCCCCAUGCUGCCUGCCAGCGUAAUAAACACACCACUUUCUAACUUGGA
This is a long non-coding RNA of Passer domesticus (house sparrow), 827 nucleotides long. RefSeq lists it as uncharacterized. The transcript has 2 exons. The record is from RefSeq and is a predicted model, not a curated record. NCBI's taxonomy places the organism in Eukaryota, Metazoa, Chordata, Aves, Passeriformes, Passeridae.